GCAAACUUGGUCAUUUAGAGGAAGUAAAAGUCGUAACAAGGUAACCGUAGGUGAACCUGCGGUUGGAUCAUUACAGAAAAGAUCUGGCCUUUGGCCUUUGUUGGAUCAGUAUAUUUCUCUUUGAGAUUGUCCUGUGAAAACAAUCCCUCAACCUUAUGUGAACUGUAUUGUCUCUGGUGGUUGGGCAGAUUGUUAGCAUUGAUUGUUGCUCUCUGCUUGUCAGCCUGAUGUAAAAAGUCAGGCCGUGGACAUGCCACCAAAGGAUUUGUCAACCUAAUGUCAUCAUAAUCUGUCUAACAUUGUAUUGUACCAAAUGAUACAUACAACUUUUGGCAACGGAUCUCUUGGCUCUCGCAUCGAUGAAGAACGCAGC
RNAcentral lists this unclassified non-coding RNA (373 nucleotides) under uncultured fungus. Its description in RNAcentral is "partial contains small subunit ribosomal RNA, internal transcribed spacer 1, and 5.8S ribosomal RNA". The stretch from base 1 to 73 matches the Rfam family "Eukaryotic small subunit ribosomal RNA", at positions 1759 to 1831 of the family's 1831-position model. The record is from RNAcentral. Lineage: Eukaryota; Fungi.